AACGCUAGCUACAGGCUUAACACAUGCAAGUCGAGGGGCAGCAUUUUAGUUUGCUUGCAAACUGAAGAUGGCGACCGGCGCACGGGUGAGUAACACGUAUCCAACCUGCCGAUAACUCCGGAAUAGCCUUUCGAAAGAAAGAUUAAUACCGGAUAGCAUACGAAUAUCGCAUGAUAUUUUUAUUAAAGAAUUUCGGUUAUCGAUGGGGAUGCGUUCCAUUAGUUUGUUGGCGGGGUAACGGCCCACCAAGACAACGAUGGAUAGGGGUUCUGAGAGGAAGGUCCCCCACAUUGGAACUGAGACACGGUCCAAACUCCUACGGGAGGCAGCAGUGAGGAAUAUUGGUCAAUGGGCGAGAGCCUGAACCAGCCAAGUAGCGUGAAGGAUGAAGGCUCUAUGGGUCGUAAACUUCUUUUAUAUGGGAAUAAAGUUUUCCACGUGUGGAAUUUUGUAUGUACCAUAUGAAUAAGGAUCGGCUAACUCCGUGCCAGCAGCCGCGGUAAUACGGAGGAUCCGAGCGUUAUCCGGAUUUAUUGGGUUUAAAGGGAGCGUAGGUGGAUUGUUAAGUCAGUUGUGAAAGUUUGCGGCUCAACCGUAAAAUUGCAGUUGAAACUGGCAGUCUUGAGUACAGUAGAGGUGGGCGGAAUUCGUGGUGUAGCGGUGAAAUGCUUAGAUAUCACGAAGAACUCCGAUUGCGAAGGCAGCUCACUAGACUGUCACUGACACUGAUGCUCGAAAGUGUGGGUAUCAAACAGGAUUAGAUACCCUGGUAGUCCACACAGUAAACGAUGAAUACUCGCUGUUUGCGAUAUACAGUAAGCGGCCAAGCGAAAGCAUUAAGUAUUCCACCUGGGGAGUACGCCGGCAACGGUGAAACUCAAAGGAAUUGACGGGGGCCCGCACAAGCGGAGGAACAUGUGGUUUAAUUCGAUGAUACGCGAGGAACCCUACCCGGGCUUAAAUUGCAACAGAAUAUAUUGGAAACAGUAUAGCCGUAAGGCUGUUGUGAAGGUGCUGCAUGGUUGUCGUCAGCUCGUGCCGUGAGGUGUCGGCUUAAGUGCCAUAACGAGCGCAACCCUUAUCUUUAGUUACUAACAGGUGAUGCUGAGGACUCUAGAGAGACUGCCGUCGUAAGAUGUGAGGAAGGUGGGGAUGACGUCAAAUCAGCACGGCCCUUACGUCCGGGGCUACACACGUGUUACAAUGGGGGGUACAGAAGGCGGCUACCUGGUGACAGGAUGCUAAUCCCAAAAACCUCUCUCAGUUCGGAUCGAAGUCUGCAACCCGACUUCGUGAAGCUGGAUUCGCUAGUAAUCGCGCAUCAGCCAUGGCGCGGUGAAUACGUUCCCGGGCCUUGUACACACCGCCCGUCAAGCCAUGAAAGCCGGGGGUACCUGAAGUACGUAACCGCAAGGAGCGUCCUAGGGUAAAACUGGUAAUUGGGGC
Molecule: ribosomal RNA, 1446 nt
Filed under: uncultured organism
Description: 16S ribosomal RNA
Rfam family: Bacterial small subunit ribosomal RNA
Source: RNAcentral